UACGUAGGCAGCGAGCGUUGUUCGGAAUUACUGGGCGUAAAGAGUGUGUAGGCGGUGCUCUAAGUCUGUUGUGAAAUCUCCCGGCUCAACUGGGAGGGUGCGGCGGAGACUGGAGUGCUCGAGUGUGGGAGAGGUAAGCGGAAUUCCUGGUGUAGCGGCGAAAUGCGUAGAUAUCAGGAGGAACACCUGUGGUGUAGACAGCUUACUGGACCACGACUGACGCUGAGACACGAAAGCGUGGGUAG
This 245-nucleotide ribosomal RNA is filed under the name uncultured bacterium. Its description in RNAcentral is "partial 16S ribosomal RNA". It matches the Rfam family "Bacterial small subunit ribosomal RNA", at positions 524 to 768 of the family's 1533-position model. The record is from RNAcentral.